RNAcentral lists this ribosomal RNA (469 nucleotides) under uncultured organism. Its description in RNAcentral is "partial 16S ribosomal RNA". It matches the Rfam family "Bacterial small subunit ribosomal RNA", at positions 335 to 796 of the family's 1533-position model. The record is from RNAcentral.
ACUCCUGCGGGAGGCAGCAGUGGGGAAUUUUGGACAAUGGGCGAAAGCCUGAUCCAGCAAUGCCGCGUGUGUGAAGAAGGCCUUCGGGUUGUAAAGCACUUUUGUCCGGAAAGAAAUCCUUGGCUCUAAUACAGUCGGGGGAUGACGGUACCGGAAGAAUAAGCACCGGCUAACUACGUGCCAGCAGCCGCGGUAAUACGUAGGGUGCGAGCGUUAAUCGGAAUUACUGGGCGUAAAGCGUGCGCAGGCGGUUUGCUAAGACCGAUGUGAAAUCCCCGGGCUCAACCUGGGAACUGCAUUGGUGACUGGCAGGCUAGAGUAUGGCAGAGGGGGGUAGAAUUCCACGUGUAGCAGUGAAAUGCGUAGAGGUGUGGAGGAAUACCGAUGGCGAAGGCAGCCCCCUGGGCCAAUACUGACGCUCAUGCACGAAAGCGUGGGGAGCAAACAGGAUUAGAUACCCGAGUAGUCC